Molecule: ribosomal RNA, 372 nt
Filed under: uncultured bacterium
Lineage: Bacteria
Description: bacterial SSU rRNA
Rfam family: Bacterial small subunit ribosomal RNA
Source: RNAcentral
GAACCGUGCGAACGUUGUUCGGAUUCACUGGGCUUAAAGGGCGCGUAGGCGGGCGACCAAGUCGGGGGUGAAAUCUUUCAGCUUAACUGGAAAAUAGCCUCCGAUACUGGUCGUCUGGAGGAAGGUAGGGGCAUGCGGAACUUCCGGUGGAGCGGUGAAAUGCGUAGAUAUCGGAAGGAACGCCGGUGGCGAAAGCGGCGUGCUGGACCUUUUCUGACGCUGAGGCGCGAAAGCCAGGGGAGCAAACGGGAUUAGAUACCCCGGUAGUCCUGGCCCUAAACGAUGGGUACUAGAUUGUAGGCUUGACAUGGGCUUACAGUCGAAGCAAAAGUCUUAAGUACCCCGCCUGGGGAGUAUGGUCGCAAGGCUGAA